CCUGAUUAAAAACUUUUGUCUACUUAGCUGGUUGCAAUGGCAGAGGUUUGUAGUCUCAGCAACAAGGGAGGCUGAGGCAGGGAGAUGGCUUGAGUCCAGGCAUUCAACACCAGCCUGGGCAACAUAACAAGAUCCUAUUUCUAAAACCAAACCAACAAAAUCUAUCCAGUGAUAUUCUCCUGUUUUCUUCUAAGCUAUGUAUUUUAAUGAGACUUUAUAUUUUCUUCCAUUCUAACUUUAGCAUACAUACAGAAAAUUGUAGAAAUUUCAAAUGCAUAAUUUGAUAAAUCUAGGACCAACGCACUACAUAAUCAGCAUUGAGAUCAAGAAAUAAUACUACAGCAGAAAUUCAGGAACUAGUUUUUACCGACUUCCUAGAUAAUUCUUCUGCAGCUUUCUUGGCCCUAGUUAAUUAACUGACCUAAGUUUAGAAAUCUUUAAGUAAAAAAAAAAAAAGACUAAGUAAAUAUAAUUUGCAUAUAAGAGUACUAUACAACUAUACUACAUAGCUUUCUAAAUAUGCCCUUUAUUAUAUAGUUUUCUUGUUUAUGGAACUGUGAACCUAAAAAUUUUCAAGCAUACUAAAUUACAGCAUAAUGAUGAAUAUAUAACUCACAAACAAAUGUAUUGUUAAGAGAAGUUGACUGACUACAUACACACACAUGCAAAUGUACACAUGCAUGUAUAAUUGAUAAUCAUUGAGAAUAAAAUGAAGUAGAGCACUUGAUUUACAAUGUUGAAAAGUAUUUCUUUGCUUUCCAGAGCUCAUUUCUCUGAAAAUAAGUUGUUAUAGGUGUGUGCUUCAGAAGUCAUAUAGACUCAAUGUUUUGUUUUGUUUGGAAGCAUGAACAGCAGUUUCAUUUUAAGAGCAUUAGAAAUGUCUAUCACUUACUUAUUUUGAGACUCAAGUCUGCUGCUCAAUUGAAGUUUAAGUGUUUUUGAAUAAAUUUAUUUUUAAGAAUCAAAUGAAUGAUUCCAUUGCCACCAGUUUAUUUGCAAAGACAGGGUAUUGGACAAGCAUCUUUUUACAUACUUCCUGUGGAGAGACAUAUUAGCUUUCAAAAAUUUAUUUUAAAAAUAACAGUAGUUUGUUUUGUGUUCGUUUUCACAGAAAGCUGAGUUCAGAUCCUGCAAAAAAAUAGUUGUGAAGUUUAUUUUAACUAUUACUCAAACCAGUGAAUUUUUAAAUAACUGACUUAUUUUCAAUUUUUCUUCAUAAAAAUUAGAAAAUAUAUAAAAAUACCAAAUAUAGAAAAAGUAAAAAAAAAAAAAGGUAAUACAAUUACAAUGCACUGACAUGCAAUGAUAAUCAGGAAUGUAAUUAUUUUCUCCCAAAUGUUUUUAAACCUCAAAUAAAUAUUUUAAACUUAGACGUGAAUCACUACGUUAGUGAUUCAGAUAUAGAGAAUUAUAUUGAUUUACUUCUAGAAUGAGUUUUUGAGGUCAUCUUGCUUUUUCCCCUUAUUCUACAAAGGUAUCAUUUUAAUUACUUUUUGCAAUAACAUGAAAAAAUACAGAGGCCUUUUUUAAAAUGAUGGUGUCAUAUACAAUAAUAUUAUGUCUAAAUCUGUAAGGAUUGUUGCUGAUUCAUUUAAAAAUAGUUACAUCAUUAUGUGGGGUAGUUACUAGCAUUUUAGGCUUAAUAGGAAAAGCUGGGAGCUGUCCUGAACUCACUCACCACCUUCAUUUUCUCAUCCAAGCAAACAUUAAGCCCCCCAGCUUCUAACUCAUUAAAAGUCUCUUAAGCCAUUUUCUUAGUCCCAGUCAUUAUCUUCAUCCUAGCCCUCAUCAUCAUCUUCUCUCUCCUGGAUGAUUGCAAUAGCCUCUUCUUUUACUUCCUCCAAUCUUCCUAUUUAAUACCGAAACCAGAUUGUCCUCUUGUUUGUCUUAGGAUAAGGUAACUCCAUUGUUAUGUGAUAAUUCAGCAUGACCAUGCAUUAGCCUCAAGUACUUCUUUCUCCUACCUUUACAUUCCAACCAGAGUGCAUUUCUUUCUCUGCCUCCAAGGUCCCAGGCUCCUCUUGCUUCUACCUCUGAAAUACCUGCUCCUUCCCCUGAUCCUUCUGCCUGACACAUGUUCUAUCUCUAACAAUGCCUCCCUUCAAGGAGGACUUCCCUCACUUGCACAGCUCUGCAUUGGGUACUGGCAUGUGUCUGACAUCCAAGGACUCUUCAUUGUCCUCGCUGGACACUUAUGACAGUGAUUACUUGUUCUUUAUUAGUUUCCUGUAAGAUUGCAAAUUCCAAGAGUGCAAAAUAUUCUCAGCUUUCUACCCUGCUCUAGUCCCUGUUUCUGACAUGGUGUCUAAUACACAGUAGGCUUUCAAUACAUAUUUUUGAAUAAAUGAGUAAAUAAAUGAGAUUAAUAUAUUAGCUUGGAAGAGCUAAGCAAGCAGCCCAAGGCAUAGACAGGAAAGAGACAUUAAAAAAAUUAGUUAUUUACAGUGACAUGAAAUAAUCCUCUAAUGGGGGUAUAUAUUAAAUACCAUUGGGAAAGCAAUCUCUACAUCUGCUGCCUAUGGAGUGGAGUGUUUCAGAGAAAAGGGAGAAUUUUAGUUGAGUAAAGAGAGAUUGUAGACAUUUUUAAAGCAAAGAAGGUAGGGGAUAGCAUUCUAUGUAAAAAGAACAACUUGAACAAAGAAAUACAAUCAAGAAAAGACAACUAAUAUCCCCAAAUUUCAAGCAGUUCCACAUCCUGAGAGAAUAUCUGAGUAGAGGAGGCUGCACAGAUUACUUUACAGUGAAGACCAUGAUAAGACAGCAUUUUUUCUUAUUUCCAAGGUGGAUAAAUUGCCACUCAAUGCCAUCACUGCUACAUUUCCUUCAUCAUCUAUGUGGUAAAGCCCGCUUCGCCAUUAAAGACAUAAUUCUGAUAUCCCAAUCUGUCUCCUUACUCUAUGCUCUCCUUUACAUUUUAAUCUUCUUACAGAUCAAUUCUUUUACCUUUUAAAUUUUGUUUCUUUAUCUCAAUAUUCUCAGGCUACAGAGAAUAGUUCUAAUCUUCUUGUAAGGGGAUAAACUGAGAAUUAAGCAGAAAAAUCUUUCCGGUAGCCUUUGAGCUCAGAAAUAAUUGUUCUCAGAUGCAUAAGUUUGGUUUAAGUAAUUGGCAUUAAGAUAAGCAGUAAUUAACUAGAAAAAUAUUAUGUGCAAUCCAAUACCGGUUACCCCGUAUUUCCAUCCAUAAAAGAUGGUGACUUCCUCAUUCUAAGAAUCUUAAUAAAUAAUAUUUAUUUGUCUAAAAAUAGAAAAGUAGAAAGCAGAAAACAAACAAAUCACAUCAAUCAUCCUAGUUCCCAGAGUUUCUGUUGGCAUAGUAAGAAAAAAUUAUAUGUGUAUAAGGUUUUGAAACAAUUAACAAUGCACAAACAUAAAUAUUAGACAUCAGCUCUACCCCGCCCCCAUGGUUUCCCUCUAACAUCCCUCUCCUAAGAAAUAUACCCAUACCUCAUUUCUUAUAUCCUUUCAAAGAAAAAAAAAUCUUGAAUUUAUGGCAUACGUGGAUUCUUUGAAAAUAUAUACACCAUGCUAUGACUCUACGUUUUUCCUUUAAAAAUAAAGAAUUAAAUGCCUCUGGCAUCUUCCCUUUUUUCAUCCUUUUUUAAUGGCUGCAUAGCUCAUUGUACAGAAGUACUAUUUUUCAUGGAAUUCGUCCCCUUAAAUAUCUCCAUGGUUGCCAGUUUUUUUUUUUUUCUAUUAUGGGCAAUGUUGGAACAGAUAUGAUUUUAUAAACAUCUUUGAUUUUCUAUAGCCUUAUAGCUGUAAAAUGAAUCUCUAUGUUUAAAAGUAGAAAUGCCUGACAGCCUGGUUGCACAUGCCUGUAAUUUCAACUUAGUGAAACCCUGUCUCAAAACAAAAAAUAAAAAGGGCUGGCGAUGUAACUGAGUUGUAGAGUACUGUUGGGCUCAACCCCUACUACUAUAAAAUAAAACAAAAUAAAGUAGAAAUUCUAUAUACAUGUGAAUAUGCAUUAAAAAUUUUUAUCCAUGUAGCCAAUUCUCCAAGAAAAUGAUAGACUAAUUUACACGUCCACCAAGAGUGUAUAAAAGUGCUUGUUUUCCACAUUUUUGCUAUUAGCAAUCUUUAAUGUUGUGCAUACUAGGGGUAAAAAAUUAUAUUAUUUUUUGGAUUUGCAUUAGUUUAGUUAAAUUAUACAAUUCAUUUUCUUUUCUAAUAUUUAUUAUCUGUUUGAAUAUAUAUAUCUCUGAAGAUGGGAGUUAUAAGGAUUUUGUUUUGUUUUAUUCUCAUCUUAUUUUGUACCCCCAAUUUCAAAGCAUAUGGGGGAGGGGAGCAUAUAUUAGUGAACUUCUCAAAUGGGACAUAUUUACUACCAAUAACAUUUGAAAUAUUUUUAGGUAAUGGAAUAUUUUUAUUUCAUGCCCAUUUAUUUAUUUCUAUGAGAAUUUUGAAAAAAUUGUUUAUAAUAUGUUUUUAAAUUUCUAUUUAAAAAUACACUUAAUGUUGAAUCUGAG
This 4469-nucleotide long non-coding RNA is filed under the name Marmota monax (woodchuck). The record is from RNAcentral. Lineage: Eukaryota; Metazoa; Chordata; Mammalia; Rodentia; Sciuridae.